This 248-nucleotide long non-coding RNA is filed under the name Elaeis guineensis (African oil palm). RNAcentral's name for it is "long non-coding RNA (EGUI_LNC063391)". The record is from RNAcentral. Lineage: Eukaryota; Viridiplantae; Streptophyta; Magnoliopsida; Arecales; Arecaceae.
GGGCGGAGUCUAGAAGAUGGCCGAUCAUCGUGAAGAUUUGGGUGGAGUCCGUCCGUCGUGAAGAAUCCGAUCGACGCUAGUGGGGGCUUAUCCGCCAGCAAAACUUGGGAGUGUUGCGGAGGCUCGGCCGCCUGGGAGGUUUGAAGAGACGUCGUUGGAGGUCGGAAGUCGGUUGGAUCCCCGGAGGGUCACUCCUGUCGCGAACUUCGGCUGGGUGGUAUUUUAUACCCAACAAGUGUUAAGAUGGA